GCGAGAGUGGCGGAACUGGCAGACGCGCUAGACUUAGGAUCUAGUGGGGUAGCACCCAUAGGGGUUCAAGUCCCCUCUCUCGCACCA
RNAcentral lists this transfer RNA (87 nucleotides) under Actinomycetota bacterium. Its description in RNAcentral is "Actinobacteria bacterium tRNA-Leu". It matches the Rfam family "tRNA". Rfam says of the family: Transfer RNA (tRNA) molecules are approximately 80 nucleotides in length. Their secondary structure includes four short double-helical elements and three loops (D, anti-codon, and T loops). Lineage: Bacteria; Bacillati; Actinomycetota. The record is from RNAcentral.